Molecule: ribosomal RNA, 503 nt
Filed under: uncultured bacterium
Lineage: Bacteria
Description: partial 16S ribosomal RNA
Rfam family: Bacterial small subunit ribosomal RNA
Source: RNAcentral
AUUGAACGCUGGCGGCAGGCUUAACACAUGCAAGUCGAGCGGGGUGAUGGUGCUUGCACUAUCACUUAGCGGCGGACGGGUGAGUAAUGCUUAGGAAUCUGCCUAUUAGUGGGGGACAACAUCUCGAAAGGGAUGCUAAUACCGCAUACGUCCUACGGGAGAAAGCAGGGGAUCACUUGUGACCUUGCGCUAAUAGAUGAGCCUAAGUCGGAUUAGCUAGUUGGUGGGGUAAAGGCCUACCAAGGCGACGAUCUGUAGCGGGUCUGAGAGGAUGAACCGCCAAACUGGGACUGGGACCCGGCCCAGACUCCUACGGGGGGCAGGAGUGGGGAAUAUUGGAAAAUGGGGGGAACCCUGAUCCAGCCAUGCCGCGUGUGUGAAGAAGGCCUUAUGGUUGUAAAGCACUUUAAGCGAGGAGGAGGCUCUUUUGGUUAAUACCCAAGAUGAGUGGACGUUACUCGCAGAAUAAGCACCGGCUAACUCUGUGCCAGCAGCCGCCGUAA